GACUCAACACGGGGAAACUCACCASGUCCAGACACGAUGAGGAUUGACAGAUUGAGAGCUCUUUCUUGAUUUCGUGGGUGGUGGUGCAUGGCCGUUCUUAGUUGGUGGAGUGAUUUGUCUGCUUAAUUGCGAUAACGAACGAGACCUUAACCUGCUAAAUAGCCCGUAUUGCUUUGGCAGUACGCUGGCUUCUUAGAGGGACUAUCGGCUCAAGCCGAUGGAAGUUUGAGGCAAUAACCGGUCUGUGAUGCCCUUAGAUGUUCUGGGCCGCACGCGCGCUACACUGACAGAGCCAGCGAGUACUCCCUUGGCCGGAAGGCCCGGGUAAUCUUGUUAAACUCUGUCGUGCUGGGGAUAGAGCAUUGCCAUUAUUGCUCUUCAACGAGGAAUCCCUA
Molecule: ribosomal RNA, 395 nt
Filed under: uncultured fungus
Lineage: Eukaryota; Fungi
Description: SSU rRNA
Rfam family: Eukaryotic small subunit ribosomal RNA
Source: RNAcentral